Molecule: transfer RNA, 84 nt
Filed under: Bacteroidales bacterium
Lineage: Bacteria; Pseudomonadati; Bacteroidota; Bacteroidia; Bacteroidales
Description: tRNA-Leu
Rfam family: tRNA
About the family: Transfer RNA (tRNA) molecules are approximately 80 nucleotides in length. Their secondary structure includes four short double-helical elements and three loops (D, anti-codon, and T loops).
Source: RNAcentral
GCCCAAGUGGCGGAAUUGGUAGACGCGCUAGUUUCAGGGACUAGUGACUGUAUGGUCGUGAAGGUUCGAGUCCUUUCUUGGGCA